Molecule: ribosomal RNA, 467 nt
Filed under: uncultured bacterium
Lineage: Bacteria
Description: partial 16S ribosomal RNA
Rfam family: Bacterial small subunit ribosomal RNA
Source: RNAcentral
GACGAACGCUGGCGGCGUGCUUAACACAUGCAAGUCGAACGGAAAGGCCUCUUUCGGGGGGUACUCGAGUGGCGAACGGGUGAGUAACACGUGAGUAACCUGCCCUCGACUUUGGGAUAACUUCAGGAAACUGGGGCUAAUACCGGAUAGGAGCUCCUGCUGCAUGGUGGGGGUUGGAAAGUUUCGGCGGUUGGGGAUGGACUCGCGGCUUAUCAGCUUGUUGGUGGGGUAGUGGCUUACCAAGGCUUUGACGGGUAGCCGGCCUGAGAGGGUGACCGGCCACCUUGGGACUGAGAUACGGCCCAGACUCCUACUGGUGGCAGCAGUGGGGAAUAUUGCACAAUGGGUGGAAGCCUGAUGCAGCAACGCCGUGUGCGGUAUGACGGCCUUCGUGUUGUAAACCGCUUUCGCUCAUGACGAAGCUUUGUGUGACGGUAGUGGGUAAAGAAGCACCGGCUAACUACGUG